CCUACGGGAGGCAGCAGUAGGGAAUAUUGCUCAAUGGGGGAAACCCUGAAGCAGCAACGCCGCGUGGAGGAUGAAGGUUUUCGGAUUGUAAACUCCUUUUGUUAGAGAAGAUAAUGACGGUAUCUAACGAAUAAGCACCGGCUAACUCCGUGCCAGCAGCCGCGGUAAUACGGAGGGUGCGAGCGUUAAUCGGAAUCACUGGGCGUAAAGAGCGCGUAGGCGGGUUAGCAAGUCAGAUGUGAAAUCCUAUGGCUUAACCAUAGAACUGCAUUUGAAACUGGUCUUCUAGAGUAUGGGAGAGGUAGGUGGAAUUCUUGGUGUAGGGGUAAAAUGCGUAGAGAUCAAGAGGAAUACUCAUUGCGAAGGCGACCUGCUAGAACAUAACUGACGCUGAUGCGCGAAAGCGUGGGGAGCAAACAGGAUUAGAUACCCUAGUAGUC
This 440-nucleotide ribosomal RNA is filed under the name uncultured bacterium. RNAcentral describes it as "partial 16S ribosomal RNA". It matches the Rfam family "Bacterial small subunit ribosomal RNA", at positions 338 to 795 of the family's 1533-position model. The record is from RNAcentral.